This 1353-nucleotide ribosomal RNA is filed under the name metagenome. RNAcentral describes it as "bacterial SSU rRNA". It matches the Rfam family "Bacterial small subunit ribosomal RNA". The record is from RNAcentral.
GUGACAUGGCAGACGGCUGAGUAACACGUUGGUAACUCCCCUAAACUCGAGGAUAUCCCGCCGAAAGGCGGACUAAUACUCGAUAGACCCUCCGGGGUAAAGAUUUAUCGGUUUAGGAAGUGCCUGCGGCCUAUCAGCUAGUUGGUGAGGUAAUAGCUUACCAAGGCAAUGUCGGGUAGCUGAUGUGAGAGCACGAUCAGCCAGAAUGGGACUGAGACACGGCCCAUACUCCUACGGGAGGCAGCAGUAAAGAAUCUUCCGCAAUGGGGGCAACCCUGACGGAGCGACACCGCGUGGAGGACGACGUCCUAACGGAUGUAAACUCCUUUUGUGUAGGAGCAAAUUUUUGAGUUAACUACACGAAUAAGGACCGGCUAAUCACGUGCCAGCAGCCGCGGUAAUACGUGAGGUCCAAGCGUUAUCCGGAAUUACUGGGCGUAAAGCGUCCGCAGCUGGAAAAGUAAGUCUGAAGUUAAAUUUUGGGGCCCAACCCCAAAUCUGUUUUGGAAACUGUUUUUCUAGAGUCUGACAGGGGUAGGCGGAAUUCCUAUUGUAGGGGUAAAAUCCGUAGAUAAUAGGAAGAACACCAAACGCGAAGGCAGCCUACUGGGUCAGUACUGACAGUCAGGGACGAAAGCGUGGGGAGCGAACGGGAUUAGAUACCCCGGUAGUCCACGCCCUAAACUAUGGAUGCUCGGUUUGCGAAGGAUUCGACCCCUUUGCGAGCCUAAGGUAACCCGAUAAGCAUCCCGCCUGGGGACUACGAUCGCAAGAUUAAAACUCAAAGGAAUAGACGGGGACCCGCACAAGCGGUGGAGCAUCGGGUUUAAUUCGAUAAUAAGCGUGGAACCUUACCAGGACUUGACGUCCCGAGAAUCCUGUAGAAAUACGGGAGUGCUGCAAAGAACUCGGUGACAGGUGCUGCAUGGUCGUCGUCAGCUCGUGCCUUGAGGUGUUCGGUUAAGUCCGUAAACGAGCGCAACCCAUGUCGUAUGUUACUUUUUCAUACGAGACUGCCUCGUCAAACGAGGAGGAAGGUAUGGAUGACGUCAGAUCAGCAUGGCCCUUAUGUCCUGGGCGACACCGGUGCUACAAUGGUCGGUACAAAGGGUAGCCAACCCGCGAGGGGGAGCCAAUCCUGAAAAAGCCGACCCAAGUUCGGAUUGAAGGCUGAAGCUCGCCUUUAUGAAGCUGGAAUCGCUAGUAACCGUGUAUCAGCCAUGAUACGGUGAAUGUGUUCCCGGGUCUUGUACUCACCGCCCGUCAAGCCAUGAAAGGAAGAAGCACCUGAAGGCUCGGCAUAAGCCGGGACCACGGUGAAGCUUCUGAUUGGGGCUAAGUCGUAACAAGGUA